GAUGAACGCUGGCGGCGUGCCUAAUACAUGCAAGUCGAGCGAACCACUUCGGUGGUGAGCGGCGAACGGGUGGGUAAACACGUAGGUGAUCUGCCCAUCAGACGGGGACAACGAUUGGAAACGAUCGCUAAUACCGGAUAGGACGAAAGUUUAAAGGUGCUUCUGGCACCGCUGAUGGAUGAGCCUGCGGCGCAUUAGCUAGUUGGUAGGGUAAAGGCCUACCAAGGCGACGAUGCGUAGCCGACCUGAGAGGGUGAACGGCCACACUGGGACUGAGACACGGCCCAGACUCCUACGGGAGGCAGCAGUAGGGAAUCUUCGGCAAUGGGCGAAAGCCUGACCGAGCAACGCCGCGUGAAUGAUGAAGGCCUCGGUUGUAAAUU
RNAcentral lists this ribosomal RNA (383 nucleotides) under uncultured bacterium. RNAcentral's name for it is "bacterial SSU rRNA". It matches the Rfam family "Bacterial small subunit ribosomal RNA", at positions 28 to 431 of the family's 1533-position model. The record is from RNAcentral.